RNAcentral lists this ribosomal RNA (433 nucleotides) under uncultured bacterium. RNAcentral's name for it is "bacterial SSU rRNA". It matches the Rfam family "Bacterial small subunit ribosomal RNA", at positions 340 to 786 of the family's 1533-position model. The record is from RNAcentral.
UACGGAAGGCAGCAGUGGGGAAUAUUGGACAAUGGGCGAAAGCCUGAUCCAGCCAUGCCGCAUGAGUGAAGAAGGCCUUCGGGUUGUAAAGCUCUUUAGUGAGAAAGAUAAUGACGGUACUCACAGAAGAAGUCCUGGCUAACUCCGUGCCAGCAGCCGCGGUAAUACGGAGAGGGCUAGCGUUAUUCGGAAUUAUUGGGCGUAAAGAGCGCGUAGGCUGAUUAGUAAGUUAAAAGUGAAAUCCCAAAGCUUAACUUUGGAAUUGCUUUUUAAAACUGCUAGUCUAGAGAUUUGAAAGAGGAUAGAGGAAUUCCUAGUGUAGAGGUGAAAUUCGUAAAUAUUAGGAGGAACACCAGUGGCGAAGGCGUCUAUCUGGUUCAAAUCUGACGCUGAGGCGCGAAGGGCGUGGGGAGCGAAACAGGGAUUAGAUACC